UACGGGGGGAGCAAGCGUUGUUCGGAUUUACUGGGCGUAAAGGGCGCGUAGGCGGUCGUGACAAGUCACUUGUGAAAUCUCCGGGCUUAACUCGGAAAGGUCAACUGAUACUGUGCGACUAGAGUGCAGAAGGGGCAACUGGAAUUCUCGGUGUAGCGGUGAAAUGCGUAGAUAUCGAGAGGAACACCUGCGGCGAAGGCGGGUUGCUGGGCUGACACUGACGCUGAUGCGCGAAAGCGUGGGGAGCGAACAGG
RNAcentral lists this ribosomal RNA (254 nucleotides) under uncultured bacterium. RNAcentral's name for it is "partial 16S ribosomal RNA". It matches the Rfam family "Bacterial small subunit ribosomal RNA", at positions 524 to 776 of the family's 1533-position model. The record is from RNAcentral.